GGGGGCGUGGCGGAAUUGGCAUACGCAGCAGUCUUUUUAUCUGCCGCCGCAAGGCUUUUGGGUUCGAGUCCCACCGCCCCUACCA
This 85-nucleotide transfer RNA is filed under the name Coriobacteriales bacterium. Its description in RNAcentral is "tRNA-Lys". It matches the Rfam family "tRNA". From Rfam's summary of the family: Transfer RNA (tRNA) molecules are approximately 80 nucleotides in length. Their secondary structure includes four short double-helical elements and three loops (D, anti-codon, and T loops). Further hydrogen bonds mediate the characteristic L-shaped molecular structure. tRNAs have two regions of fundamental functional importance: the anti-codon, which is responsible for specific mRNA codon recognition, and the 3' end, to which the tRNAs corresponding amino acid is attached (by aminoacyl-tRNA synthetases). tRNAs cope with the degeneracy of the genetic code in two manners: having more than one tRNA (with a specific anti-codon) for a particular amino acid; and 'wobble' base-pairing, i.e. permitting non-standard base-pairing at the 3rd anti-codon position. Lineage: Bacteria; Bacillati; Actinomycetota; Coriobacteriia; Coriobacteriales. The record is from RNAcentral.